GAUGAACGCUGGCGGCGUGCCUAAUACAUGCAAGUCGAGCGAACAGACGAGGAGCUUGCUCCUCUGACGUUAGCGGCGGAAGGGUGAGUAACACGUGGAUAACCUACCUAUAAGACUGGGAUAAAUUCGGGAAACCGGCGCUAAUACCGGAUAACAUGUUGAACCGAACGGUUCAACAGUGAAAGACGGUCUUGCUGUCACUUAUAGAUGGAUCCGCGCCGCAUUAGCUAGUUGGUAAGGUAACGGCUUACCAAGGCAACGAUGCGUAGCCGACCUGCGAGGGUGAUCGGCCACACUGGAACGGAGACACGGCCCAGACUCCUACGGGAGGCAGCAGUAGGGAAUCUGCCGCAAUGGGCGAAAGCCUGACGGAGCAACGCCGCGUGAGUGAAGAAGAUCUUCGGAUCGUAAAACUCUGUUAUUAGGGAAGAACAAAUGUGUAAGUAACUAUGCACGUCUUGACGGUACCUAAUCAGAAAGCCACGGCUAACUACGUG
This 497-nucleotide ribosomal RNA is filed under the name uncultured bacterium. Its description in RNAcentral is "partial 16S ribosomal RNA". It matches the Rfam family "Bacterial small subunit ribosomal RNA", at positions 28 to 507 of the family's 1533-position model. The record is from RNAcentral.